Molecule: transfer RNA, 66 nt
Filed under: Marmota monax (woodchuck)
Lineage: Eukaryota; Metazoa; Chordata; Mammalia; Rodentia; Sciuridae
Description: tRNA.Ala
Source: RNAcentral
GGUUGUGGCUUAGUGGUAGAACACUGCCUAGCAUGUAUGAGGCACUGGGUUCAAUUCUCAGCACCA